AGGUCUUCGGAUCGUAAAGCUCUGUUGUUGGUGAAGAAGGAUAGAGGCAGUAACUGGUCUUUAUUUGACGGUAAUCAACCAGAAAGUCACGGCUAACUACGUGCCAGCAGCCGCGGUAAUACGUAGGUGGCAAGCGUUGUCCGGAUUUAUUGGGCGUAAAGCGAGCGCAGGCGGAAUGAUAAGUCUGAUGUGAAAGCCCACGGCUCAACCGUGGAACUGCAUCGGAAACUGUCAUUCUUGAGUGCAGAAGAGGAGAGUGGAACUCCAUGUGUAGCGGUGGAAUGCGUAGAUAUAUGGAAGAACACCAGUGGCGAAGGCGGCUCUCUGGUCUGCAACUGACGCUGAGGCUCGAAAGCAUGGGUAGCGAACAGGAUUAGAUACCCUGGUAGUCCAUGCCGUAAACGAUGAGCGCUAGGUGUUGGGGACUUUCCGGUCCUCAGUGCCGCAGCAAACGCAUAAGCGCUCCGCCUGGGAUUAAGACCAGACUGU
This 489-nucleotide ribosomal RNA is filed under the name Lactobacillus delbrueckii subsp. lactis. RNAcentral's name for it is "bacterial SSU rRNA". It matches the Rfam family "Bacterial small subunit ribosomal RNA", at positions 412 to 894 of the family's 1533-position model. Lineage: Bacteria; Bacillati; Bacillota; Bacilli; Lactobacillales; Lactobacillaceae. The record is from RNAcentral.